Molecule: long non-coding RNA, 3029 nt
Organism: Aegilops tauschii subsp. strangulata
Lineage: Eukaryota; Viridiplantae; Streptophyta; Magnoliopsida; Poales; Poaceae
Source: RefSeq, a predicted model, not a curated record
GACUCACGCACAGACCCCACCACCUCCUUCUUCCACCUCCGCUCGGUCUCCCUCCCCAUCAUGACAGUACCUCAACGACCAAAACAAAUCCAUGAUCCGCGCAAUCCUGAACCCCCUCGACCGAAUCCGUUGAAACAGAUCGAAUCCCCUGUCUCCCCUCGAUUGAUUCCCAUCCUCACCUCGCGGAACUGAGCUCCUCGACUCGCUGGAUCUCCGCUGCACGAAGCUCCUCCGACGACGAACUGCAGAGCGGCCAGAACCACUGCUUCGAGCGCCCCACAUCCUCCCGAAGUUCGCCGGCAACUGCCAUCGUUCCAGCCGCACCGCCUUGUCGCCAAAGGUCGCCCACGUUGUAACCGAGGAGGUUUUCGAGUUGGCCAUGAAGCCCCGCACGCCGUCCCAUGCUUCCCGAGCUUCGGGAGCCACCUUUGUGAGCUCUUGAACGGAGCCGAGCCGCCCCGCCACCGCGCCAUGGUCACCGGAGUGCAUUCCGAUUUCUCGGAGCGUGACGAGUAGAGUUAUCAGGAUGAUGAGUGCGACGAUCUUCAUCAAAUAUACUAGGCAAGUUACACCUUGGUCAUCCUUCAUCCUAUUAUUUUUCAUGCAUGUAGUUCUAUAUCACAAUACCAUAUUAUGCAUGUGUAGGAAUAUUAUGGCAGUAUGCUAUUGCUAUUGAGAUGUAGUUAGUAUGGCCUUAUUGUAGAUCGUGAUAGUGUAUGCUUGCUAUGCUAGGUAAACGGGUAUUGGUUCGUGCAUGCAUUGAGAAUAUGUGAGGACUAUAUAUAAUAUAACUUGAGUAAAAACAUAAUAUAUAAUUCACCUCUGGGCGGAAGUGGUAUUGUUUGGUGUUGAGGGAAGGCAUCAUGGGGUCUUGCACUUUUUCCAAGGCCAUGCGCCCAUGAGAGUGCACCCUAAGUGGAAAGCCACUCAGGUUCCAUGUGCGACCACUGGCUAUAUGGGCUCUGGCUUAGUUGAUCAGUUGUUGGAACCCUUGCCCAGACAGUGUCAACAGAUGUAGCAUAUAUAUAGGUGGGAUGUGGCCGUUAGGUGUUAAGGGAACCUCUUCUGAAAGACUUCGUCUCAAUCUUCGGAUUGGUUCCAGUGGUUAAAGCGUAAAAAACUCUGCAGAGUAUUAAAACUAAUCAUGAUUAACCGUGUCCCCGAUUAUGGACAAAUUUGAGCAGCUAGACCAUGAUAGUUGUUGAAUGAUCUUAACGGAUGAUAUCUUAAUAAAAAUUGAGUGGGAAAUUUAAUAAUAUGGAUAGGUUGGUAUUGGAUUGCCCAACUCAACCAUAUGUAUUUAAUUGUAGCAAGACGAAAAUAAAAUUUAACGAUUACAUUAUGUAGUUAUGUCACAUCCCUAGAAUUUGCUUGUCAUUAGUUGCAUUAAAGCAUCCAUGCAUCAUGUUAAUUCUCAAUUAAAGUUGAAAUGGGGAUGACAAACCCUAGCACCAAAUUAAAUCAAAUAGGGUCAACCAUAAAUAUUUUCAAUGAACCCAGAAUGCUCUUUAGAAAAGUUCAUCAUUUUUGGAUUGGUUGAAAACCUCUGUCAAAAAUGGUGCACAUUUUUCUAGGUAAUCCUGGAUUUUUGAAUUAAAUCGUAUGUAUUUGAAUCGGGGCACUUAAAUUCUAUAAAUAAUUUUAAAUGCUCCAACAUAUUCUGAAAAUAGCUAAGGGCCUUUGUAAUAAUUCAGUUAAUGCCCAAAAUUAUUUUCAGGAUUUAUAAAAUGAUUUGGUUUAUAAACUAAAUCAAAAUAGAGGAGAAAAAUAGCAAAAUAGAAAGAAAAUUAGAAAGGACACAGAGAGAGAGAGAGUUUACCUGUGCAGCCCACCUGCCGGCCCAGCUUGCCGGGCCAGCCCACCCGGUGCCUCCUGUCGUCUUCCUCCUGCCAGUAGGAGCAGCUGUGUGCUCGCACGCGCGCGGCCGAGGAGGCCAGCUCCUCCCUGCCUGCCUGCCCCUCCCCGACGCGUCUGGACGACGCCACGCAACCCCUCUGGCCCUCUCUCACUCUCCCCGUGCUCCUCCUCCCCUUUGUCUCUCUCUCACGCGCACACCCGAGCGUUGCCGUCGCCGCCGAUCGCCGUAGCCGUGGCCACCGGCCACCGCACCACCUGCCGACAUGCCCAUCAACUCCGCCGCGACGCCUAGCGCCUCCAAGCAGAAGAACGCAAGCCCGGACGGCCUUCUUCCCCGCCAACGCCGCCAUCCUCGACCUCGGGUGCCGGUGAUCUGCGCCGUCGAUUCGCCGGACCCCGUGCCUCCCUUGCCUUGCGAGCAGCACCAGCAGACCCGCGGUGAGCCGCUGCUUCUUUUCCCCCUACUCCCAUGUUCGCCCGCGUCCUCUAUGCCGUAGUUGCACGGACGCAGAAGCUCCCGCCGCCAUGUCUCAUCGCCGCCGCACCAACAGCAACCGCAGCUUGUGUCUGAGCACCGUCGCGCGCUCAGCAUUCUCCCAGGAGCCGAGUGCAGCCACCUGUUCGCCCUGCCGUGCACAAUGGCGCCGAACCCGACCUUGCCGAGCUCCGGCCGCCGCAAAGCUCGACGCCGUCGGCGCUGUAGACCACCUCAUCCACUGCUGCUUGCUCUGUUGGAUGCGGAUGAGCACCAGCUCCAUGCAGAGCCCCUCCGCCACUCGUUUGGUCGCCGGAGGAGCAAACCCGACGCCUGCGCCGUGGCCUGUGGCCGCCGGCGAUUAGCCGCCGGCUAACCAUGCCAUUAGGGCUUAAUUACCUUGUUUAGUUAACCCCCAGACACUGAAAGCCGGACCUCAUAGGUUCAAUUAACCGGCUAACCAAAUUAGUUAGAUUUAAUCUAAUCCAGUGGACCCACGCGUCAGCAUUGACUUUGCUAACGUGGCGUUUGACCGGUCCCACCUGUCUGCGACCCUAACCAGCCCUGAGUCACUGACCAGCGGGCCCCACUGGUCAGGUUUGACCUGGACCGGCCCCUAUUGACUUGAUGACGUCACACUGACGUCAUGCUGACGCAGUAAACUAUUUCUGGAAUUUAAAUAAAUCUAAAUGAUUUA